Molecule: long non-coding RNA, 1043 nt
Organism: Gambusia affinis (western mosquitofish)
Lineage: Eukaryota; Metazoa; Chordata; Actinopteri; Cyprinodontiformes; Poeciliidae
Exons: 4
Source: RefSeq, a predicted model, not a curated record
AGAAUGAUGUGAAAAUGUCCCAAAUUGUCUGGUGCCCAAGGAAGAAAAAAAGUAAAGAAGAAGAAGAAAAAAACAUCAUAGAAACAGAGAUGAAUGCGGCGCCUUCAAGUAUCUGGAAAUUGUUCUCCAGGAUGGACCAGGCUGGAGCAGCUGCACAGUUCUCUUCAAGUCAAACGAGAAAGCAGUGAGUUCCAGGUGUGACCCAACAAUACAUCCACAGGAAGAGGUCGUAGAGUUUAUCCAGCUCAUUCUCGGCGCCCUUCGGUGUGAUGUGAACUGGGAUCAUCACCAGAUCUUCCAGAACUGUCAAGAGAAUCAGACAGGAAUCAGGCCUGAAAGACGAGCUGGGUGGCCUGAAGACUGAUGAAGAUGAGGAUGGAACAGAAAUCUGCUCCUGGAAAGAGAAAAGCUCAACCUGGAGAUCCAGAUCCUCCAGAUGAAAGUCGCCAGGAUGACCAACGGAGAUGCACUAUAACCUGAAGAGGCCAGAGCUCAGCCACACUUCACACCUGCUCACCAAUCUGCUAAGGCUCGAAGUUGAAAAACUAACUAGAUUAAUCUGAAACAGCCAACAUGACCGUAAGCUGCAAUAAUACUGGUUAGCAGUUUUACAAGGCUGGUCUCUGCCUGACGUCUGGAAAAACCGAUCCAGAUGAACCAGAACCAGUUUCCUACCAUAAUCUGGGCUUGAUUUGACAACACUGCAAAAACACAAAAUCUUAUAACUGUGGAUCGUUCUCAUACGUAGAUGCAUUAGAACGUUUUUUUUUUUUUUUGAGUCACAUUUUGGUUUUACAUAAAUUUAUUGUUUUUUUGUGUGAGAAACAGAAAAUGUACAAACCUAAAAAUGUUGCCAUAAUCACCCAAAAAAUAAACACAUAUAACAACAUAUAAUUACAAAAAAGAUUUUAUUGACAUCUCCCACUUCACAAUACAACAAAAACAUAGUUCAGGUCUUUUUUAUUAAACAUUUUCCACUGAAGAAAUGUUUUUAUUUUUGCCAAAAAAUAAAGACAUUUCCUAAACGGUGAGAGUUAAUUUAA